RNAcentral lists this ribosomal RNA (427 nucleotides) under uncultured Chlamydiales bacterium. Its description in RNAcentral is "partial 16S ribosomal RNA". It matches the Rfam family "Bacterial small subunit ribosomal RNA", at positions 355 to 774 of the family's 1533-position model. The record is from RNAcentral. Lineage: Bacteria; Pseudomonadati; Chlamydiota; Chlamydiia; Chlamydiales.
UCGAGAAUCUUUCGCAAUGGGCGCAAGCCUGACGAAGCGACGCCGUGUGAGCGAAGAAGGCCUUCGGGUUGUAAAGCUCUUUCGCUAGGGAACAAGAAAGUCCGGAUAAUACUCGGACAAUUUGAUGGUACUUGGUAAAGAAGCACCGGCUAACUCCGUGCCAGCAGCUGCGGUAAUACGGAGGGUGCAAGCAUUGAUCGGAAUUACUGGGCGUAAAGGGCGCGUAGGCGGCCGAAAAAGUCAGAUGUGAAAUUCCAGGGCUCAACCCUGGAGCUGCAUUUGAAACUUUUCGGCUAGAGUGCAAUUAGGGAAAACGGAAUUCCACGUGUAGCGGUGAAAUGCGUAGAUAUGUGGAAGAACACCGGUGGUGAAGACGGUUUUCUGGGUUGUAACUGACGCUGAGGCGCGAAAGCUAGGGGAGCAAACA